AAAAAAAAAAAAUAAUGCAGAAGUGAAAACAAAUCCCCAAACCCAACUGCGCUGUCGGCGUUGCCACCUGGCCGCCCUAAAAAUAACCAAAGAAGCACACCUACAAACAAUGAGACAAAGAGAGAGGGAGCGAUAGAGCGCAAGAGAGAGAGAGAGAGAGAGAUACGCAGCGCAACAAUAUUAUAUGGCCACAAAUUUGGCUCGCUCGUUCAACUGGGGAUUUAACUUGCAUGCGGUUCUAGUGGGCAACAGCUGUUUGGGUAAUUGUGUGAUUUAGUCGCAUGUAUUUCAUUUGUUAAUUUUCAUAAUUCACAUUUCCCAAUGUCGCCCAUUCGUAAUGAGGCUUGAUUUAUGCGCACGCCUUAAAAUA
RNAcentral lists this small RNA (370 nucleotides) under Drosophila mojavensis. Its description in RNAcentral is "GI26638". Lineage: Eukaryota; Metazoa; Arthropoda; Insecta; Diptera; Drosophilidae. The record is from RNAcentral.